UUCUAUUGCUGUGGGUGCUGAUUAGC
Molecule: non-coding RNA, 26 nt
Filed under: Rattus norvegicus (Norway rat)
Lineage: Eukaryota; Metazoa; Chordata; Mammalia; Rodentia; Muridae
Source: RNAcentral